UGGUGGUUGAGGUGCAUUGAGGGAGAUGGACCCACUUGUACUACUUACUGUAAGUUUCUUCCCCACAUUCCUCCUCAUUUAUUAUUGUUUGAUUUUGGUGCCUUUGAUUCUCUCAUUUCUGUACCUCUCUCCUCCCCAGUCCUGUCAAAGCGCUUUUUUUUUCUCUCUCUAUUUUGGAGUCUUAAAAGAGACUCAAGGCAUGUUUCGGAGUAAAAGCUACUUCUAUGUUCUAAUUUCUACACAGGUCAC
RNAcentral lists this long non-coding RNA (249 nucleotides) under Vitis vinifera (wine grape). RNAcentral's name for it is "long non-coding RNA (VVIN_LNC002851)". Lineage: Eukaryota; Viridiplantae; Streptophyta; Magnoliopsida; Vitales; Vitaceae. The record is from RNAcentral.